Molecule: long non-coding RNA, 513 nt
Organism: Eucalyptus grandis
Lineage: Eukaryota; Viridiplantae; Streptophyta; Magnoliopsida; Myrtales; Myrtaceae
Exons: 2
Source: RefSeq, a predicted model, not a curated record
CAAGAACCCCACAACCGACCAAACUCCAUAUUUAGUUUCCUCUACCGAAAAAUUUAUAAGUUCGUGUGUUGUUGUUGUCAUCGCACCACAGCAGAUUCUUCUGCGGCUUCGGCUCAACACCAUCACCAAGACGAUCAAGGCUGGUCUCUGUGUUGCUGUUCAACCACCAACGAGAGCCGCCGUUAGCUGUGUUUAGGUCCAUAAAUGGAGGAAGGCUAGAUCGUGUACAAUUGGUCACAGUAAAGGAGGAAUAGGACUCUCGCUAUCUCCUUCCAAGUGAUGACGGGUUUUCCGUCAAGACUGGAUGUAGGGUGAUAGCUCACCCCCGAGAUAUUGAGAAGUAUGGUAUUGUAAUAGUAAACCCCAGUUUUAUAAAUAGAAGCUUAGUUAGUGGUUAAUCGAAUAGCUUCACUUUUGUAUCAAACCUUGGGGUGUUAAACUGGUCUAUUUACAUAGAUAUGAUAAUGUUGUAGUUGUGGUUUGUGAAAAAUAAUAUCCUACGUUUCUAUCCCA